RNAcentral lists this ribosomal RNA (372 nucleotides) under uncultured organism. Its description in RNAcentral is "bacterial SSU rRNA". It matches the Rfam family "Bacterial small subunit ribosomal RNA", at positions 526 to 896 of the family's 1533-position model. The record is from RNAcentral.
CAGAGGGUGCGAGCGUUGUCCGGAAUCACUGGGCGUAAAGGGCGCGUAGGUGGCGCUCCAAGUCUGUGGUGAAAGCUCGACGCUCAACGUCGAGUCGGCCACGGAGACUGGAGGGCUCGAGCACUGUAGGGGCAGAUGGAAUUCCGGGUGUAGCGGUGGAAUGCGUAGAGAUCCGGAAGAACACCGGUGGCGAAGGCGGUCUGCUGGGCAGUUGCUGACACUGAGGCGCGACAGCGUGGGGAGCAAACAGGAUUAGAUACCCUGGUAGUCCACGCCGUAAACGAUGGGCACUAGAUGCUUGGGGGAGCAACCCCCUGAGUGUCGUCGCUAACGCAGUAAGUGCCCCGCCUGGGGAGUACGGCCGCAAGGCUG